GAUGUACGCUAGCUACAGGCUUAACACAUGCAAGUCGAGGGGUAACGAGAGGAAAGCUUGCUUUCCUUGUCGACGACCGGCGCACGGGUGAGUAACGCGUAUCCAACCUGCCCCCAACUAGGGAAUAACCUUGCGAAAGUAAGACUAAUACCCUAUAAUUUCCUCAGAUGACAUCUGACGAGGAAUAAAGAUUUAUCGGUUGUGGAUGGGGAUGCGUCUGAUUAGCUUGUUGGCGGGGUAACGGCCCACCAAGGCAACGAUCAGUAGGGGUUCUGAGAGGAAGGUCCCCCACAUUGGAACUGAGACACGGUCCAAACUCCUACGGGAGGCAGCAGUGAGGAAUAUUGGUCAAUGGGCGGAAGCCUGAACCAGCCAAGUAGCGUGCAGGAUGACGGCCCUAUGGGUUGUAAACUGCUUUUAUACAGGAAUAAAGUUAGCCACGUGUGGUUAUUUGUAGGUACUGUAUGAAUAAGGACCGGCUAACUCCGUGCCAGCCGCCGCUGUAA
This 506-nucleotide ribosomal RNA is filed under the name uncultured bacterium. RNAcentral's name for it is "partial 16S ribosomal RNA". It matches the Rfam family "Bacterial small subunit ribosomal RNA", at positions 28 to 523 of the family's 1533-position model. The record is from RNAcentral.